UGGGGAAUUUUGGACAAUGGGCGCAAGCCUGAUCCAGCCGUGCCGCGUGCGGGAAGAAGGCCUUCGGGUUGUAAACCGCUUUUGUCAGGGAAGAAAUCUUCUGAGUUAAUACCUCGGGAGGAUGACGGUACCUGAAGAAUAAGCACCGGCUAACUACGUGCCAGCAGCCGCGGUAAUACGUAGGGUGCAAGCGUUAAUCGGAAUUACUGGGCGUAAAGCGUGCGCAGGCGGUUUUGUAAGACAGAGGUGAAAUCCCCGGGCUCAACCUGGGAACUGCCUUUGUGACUGCAAGGCUUGAGUGCGGCAGAGGGGGAUGGAAUUCCGCGUGUAGCAGUGAAAUGCGUAGAUAUGCGGAGGAACACCGAUGGCGAAGGCAAUCCCCUGGGCCUGCACUGACGCUCAUGCACGAAAGCGUGGGGAGCAAACAGGAUUAGAUACCCUGGUAGUCCACGCCCUAAAACGAUGUCAACUGGUUGUUGGGAAGGUUCCCUCUCAGUAACGUAGCUAACGCGUGAAGUUGACCGCCUGGGGAGUACGGCCGCAAGGUU
Molecule: ribosomal RNA, 548 nt
Filed under: uncultured bacterium
Lineage: Bacteria
Description: partial 16S ribosomal RNA
Rfam family: Bacterial small subunit ribosomal RNA
Source: RNAcentral